This 344-nucleotide unclassified non-coding RNA is filed under the name soil metagenome. RNAcentral's name for it is "partial contains 5.8S ribosomal RNA, internal transcribed spacer 2, and large subunit ribosomal RNA". The stretch from base 1 to 120 matches the Rfam family "5.8S ribosomal RNA", at positions 35 to 154 of the family's 154-position model. The record is from RNAcentral.
GAUGAAGAACGCAGCGAAAUGCGAUAAGUAAUGUGAAUUGCAGAAUUUAGUGAAUCAUCGAAUCUUUGAACGCACAUUGCGCCCACUGGUAUUCCGGUGGGCAUGCCUGUUCGAGCGUCAUUAUCCUCCCUCAAACCCCGGGUUUGGUGUUGGACCCAAGUUGUGUGAACAACUGGUCUCAAAGACAAUGACGGCGUCCGUGGGACCCUCGGUGCAACGAGCUUUUAGGAGCACGCAUCGAGUUGCAAGGACCUUCCGGGCCGGUCUCCUUUACCAUUUUACAAGGUUGACCUCGGAUCAGGUAGGAAUACCCGCUGAACUUAAGCAUAUCAAUAAGCGGAGGA